UGCUCCGUCAUUGCCUGGGCUGCAGGGCGGGUGGGCACGGUUCCCCUGGCGCGCGGCCCCUGGCCGUAGCAAGGUCAGGACGCGAAGCCGUGCGCUGCUUCCUGCGGACGAGCAGUCUUCAUUGUUUAAUCCCAGAUCCCGUGGGUUGUGAUAAUCCCGGGGUAAUCUGCGCUCUGCCGGCGGAUGGUGCUGCUGGCGGCCCCCGGGCAGCGCCCAGCGGGUGGUGGCAGCGGGCGCUGGAGGAGGGGACGGGUCCCAGCGGCGGUGCUGGAGCGAUCGGGUUUGCUCGGGGGCUGCUCCUACGAGCACGAGGACGAGGCUCCUACGUUCGGAGUCCUUAGCGAGGCUCAAUAAUCAUUAAGCGGGGCUACAGCAGGAAAGAUAAGAGCACGUGCUCUGCCCACCGCCACCACCUUUGCAGAGAAUCCUCUCAAAGCUGAUGGGGAUGGCCCGUUUUUCUCAGGAUUAACAAAAAUUAAAAUAUUGCCUUCCCCCCUUCAGAAGUAUGUUUUACCCCAGGAUCCAUGCAGCACCGUUCCCUCAUUGGGAGCAUCUGCAGAGCCCGCUGCGCUGCCCUGGAGCACGUCCGUGUGCUGACAGCAUCACUGUGCUCUGCACGAGGGAACUCACAGCUUCUCUAGGGGCAAAAGAAAGACCAAGAAACCAAAGUCUGACAGGCCAUCAUCCUAUGGACCUCGUGAGGAGCAAGACCUACUUGCUGUCUUGGGAGGCAUUUUGGCACUGAGGUUCAGACACAGCACUUUGAUUCCCAUUGUGUCACCCUGGAGCCCUUCAGUACAGGUGUAGUUGAUGACAGCAGAAAUUCUUGUUGUGGAACCAGAAGCAACGUUUCCAUUUUCUGUGUUUUUACCAAGGUAAGCUCAGCUAAAGGGGAGCUGUGAGGACCAUCACGCACUGUCCUCGUGUGCUGUUGCCUUCCACUGCUGCUCCAUAGCACGUUGGUAUGGUUGGCAGAGUAGAGUAUGGGCCAUGAGUUAACUGCCUUUCCAUGCAGCAAGCUGAAACACAACUUUUUUUAACCUAGUUUAGGAAGUUAGCAUUUUAGCUCCACGAGGAAAAACACACUGCUUUGUUUUAACUGAGGAACCCACCUCUACUGGCAGGAGUGUGAUAUGUGAGGGGGGUUCAGCAGGAAUUACACAGAGAAGAGCAUUUGGUUGCAGUUUUCUGCCUACCACUGGCUGUAGCCUUUCUCUUGCUCAGCUUGUGCUGUCCAUGGGGCCACCAGCUGGGCUGCAUUAUCCAUCGAGCCCAGGGAGACAAAAGCAGGCAGCUGGGAGCUGGCACCUGUGUCCUGAGGAGAGGCUGCGAUGGAGGAGAGCAGGCAGAGACAGUGCUCCAGGAGAGAACCUCCUCUGGCAGAGGCACCUUGGCUGGGACAAAAUGCUGUGGCUCCAGGCAUGCGGCAUGCUGAGAUGAACUGAGCAGCUUUUUGAAAAUGUCUUGAGAUCCUUGGCAAUGGGGGGAGAUUGCAGCGCAAGCACUUCUCUGGAUUACUCUGUCACCGAUGUCAAAUCAAAGCAUCAAGGAUAUAAAUCUUCAGGAAACAUCUGGCCUCACUUCAGCCAGGUUAUGCAAUGCCUCAAGUACAUUCAGCAGAUCAUGCUGUGUUCUCCAUUUGUGUAACGCAAGCUAAUGUGAAUAUCGAGUCACAUCAGUGAUGUAGACAAGUCGUCUAGAGAUUAAGACAGCAACUCAAACUGGGAAGUUCGGCCUUUCAGCUUCAACUUAAAGGUCAUCGUGUUCUCUCAAGAUAUCGUCUUGCGACAGCUUUUUUGGUAUUCUCAGCAGUGCUUACGGCACGGUGGCUGAUCGUUCUUCACAAACUGUAAAGGAAGGAGGCUGCCCCUUGAUUGAGUCCCCAGAUGACAGCAAUGUGAAAUGAGCUGACCAGCUCCGUUCUCAGACGGCUUGCUCCAGAGCAGCUCAUAGGCUGUGGUAACAUUAGAAGAAAGAAAGAAGAAGAAGCCAAAGCCAAACCUUGCCCACAUGGGGAUUCUGCCUGGGACACAGUCCAGCCCUGCAUCAGGACACAUCUUCUGCACUGCAACCAGCACCAGCCAUCAAUGUCUGCAACACCUCAAGAAAUAUCCUGCGGCUCUUGCACCAUGGGAAGAUGUCCUUUUGAAGUCCAAGUGAAUCCGUGUGCAUGUAUUAACAUCACAGGAUUGAGCAGAAAAGCAUAACAGGGAGCUGAGGUCCUGAUGGAUUUGAGGUCUUUCUUCCCCCUUGGAGCGCUGAAGAGCAACUCGAGCAGCCUCAGAGGAGGUGACGCACCUGGGGUUUCCAUCGCUGCACCCGUGCAGGCACAUCACCGGCAUCGCUGCGCAGCCAGCAGGGACAGGACACGGCGUGGCUGACAGCCGUGGGGUAGAUGGCAGUGGAGCACUGAUGAGGACAUUGGAUUCUGAGUGACUUGCGAUCUGCUGGAUGGUUUUUGGCGGUAGCAUCUCCAAUAAUUGGUGUAGGCAGGGUGCUGAGAGCCAGAGCCUCUGGCUGUGCACCUGGAACCCCUGGGCAGCGCUCGGGACAUCAGGCAAACGUGUGGAGGGGGAGGACAGUUACAGCCUGACUUCAGAGCGGUCCCUGGGGAGAUAAUGGGCAGUGACUGGAUUGCGGAGGUUGGCAGUGAAGGGACCUUUUGCGAUAUUGGUCAUCGUGUGCUGUCACUGAAACCUCAGCGCAGGAAGCUGAUGCUUCCGGAAUCCUAAGGGAGAACUGUCAUAACUGCGUGACUUAGAAUGCAGACUGAGAAAAAGCCUCCUGAGAAGUGCCAUGGUUGGAGCCGCAAUGUGUGCAGAGCACUUCGGUGCAGUGGGCUCAAGAUUCUGCCACGAGGCCGCCUGAGCCACACGCUGUUCAGCUGGAGACUUAUUUAAGAUUUUCUUCAAAAAUGUCCUUUGGUGCUGUCAAGCUCUACAGGUGGUUGCAGUAAAUUACACACGUGUGGACAGGUGUGGAUUGACAUAGAUUUUUUUUUUUUUUUUUUUUAGUUGAUGAUGUCGUUGUCAAUAUAUAUAUAUAUUUAGCCAUAGGCACUGAAAGGAUCAGCAAUAACCAAGAAGAUUGGGACCAACAGAGUAGGCUGUAAGCCGCAGAGUGAGCAGCAGCACUGCCUUCCUUCCCAGCAAUGGAGUUUGAUGGCAGCCUGAGGUGCACAGUGCAGCAAGGCAGCUGCAUGCCUGCCAGCCUCCGCAGCUGGGGGCCUGGGUUUGUCUCUGCAUUCAGUUUCCACCCCUGUGUCAGACUCAAGACACCGAGGGCAUCUGAGACUCCUCCCAGGUUUCCAUCUUCUUCAUAGAGAUGCACCGAUUAUAUUUGGAAAUCUGGCCUUUAAUCUCCCUGCGCUGCAAUUCUCACUCGUCAUUGCCUUUUUAAUGUUUUCUAGUGUAAAUGUGAUUUCCCUGCUGCAGCUGCUCUUUCAAGCUAUGUGUUCAUGGCAAGAUAGGACCCCCAACAUCAUUUAAGAGCCACUGUAAUGCAAAUAAAAACAAACAUCCCACUUUCCCUUUCUUUUUCAGUCUUCUCCAGCUUAGUUCUUCUAUAUCCACACACGGCAAGUCACCUACCAUUGCUGUGGUCUCAGGCUGAUGAUGUGGAUUUACUGUAUUGUCAUAGUAUACUUUCUAUUUCAGUGCCUCUGGAGCAUGAUUUAUUACAAUGACAGACCACACUACAGUUUGCAUAGCACGCUUAAUUCAUUACCAUUUUUUUUAAUACAGCUCUUUACAUCAUCUCCAGCAUUUGGGAGUAUAUAUAUUUAUUUUAAUCACCAUGUGCUGAAUAUGUAAUUUUUUUCCUAGGUGAAAUUUCCUUUUAAUGGAGGCUGGGUCAUGAGAGAGCAAUUAAUUGAGUUAUGUGCACAUAUUACAGAAUAAUUUAAAAUCAGCUUUUGGGUCAGUCUUUUUUUAAUUAUCUAUUUUAUCAACUGUUUUUGACUAGCAGUUUAGAUAAUUGUGUUUGCCUAAUAUCUGGAAAUGUAAUUGCUUUUAGACAUCCUUUAUUCCAAGCCUGGCAUCGUUACCUGCCUCUGCAUACUGCGCAUGUUUGGACCUGUCUGCACAAUGACAGAUUUGUGGUGACAGCUUGUAUAACUUAUUUAUGAAAUGAUAAAUUAUUUUUGAAUUAAAGUUCACAGACUGGAAAUAUGGAGAAACACCUCCUUGCUGCAGAGGAUCCGUUAAAUAAGUCAAAAGGAAACUAUGAGUAUUGGCAAAGAGCACAUGUCAAGUGUGGGACACUGUUAGACUGGUUCAGGGAGCCACUCCCUGGAUGCAGUGUUUGAGAAGCAAAUGAGGAAAUGAAAGUACCUUUCAUAUAUGAGCUUUUAAUAGGCUGUUGGUUAUUAUCUCAGCGCUUUUUCCUCGGUACUGCACUCACGGUGACUCACAGCGGGACGCACAGGAGCAACCACGGGCAGCCUCCUCCCCGGAGCAGCUCCACACUACUGCCUAUUAUUUAGUGACUUGAAAUGUCAGCAGAACGGCACCCGUCUCAGCCAUCCCCUCCUUUCAGCUGCCCACCGCAGGGACCCGUGCCAGAAGGCAGAUGCCCGUGCCGUGCCCCACAUCCCCACGCAAGGUGCAUGGCAGCGGGAUUGCGGCUGUGCAACAAAUCGAGGCGGUGCUCUCCAAAGCUCAGUUCCACAUGUGCUCACCCACUGCAGAAAGCCCUGGAAAUGGUUAGAAAGAUCCAGCGCGGCUUAAGGGAGAACUGAGUUUGGGGGUGGUCUUUGUCAACACCCACCCUGACAAUUGGAGGUGGAAUGCAGCAGAGGCGCUUUGGUGGCUCUGGCAGAAUACCCUCGGCAGAAGCAAACCUUCUCUUAUUGCAGUUUAAAACAUUGGCCAUCCCUCCCUGCACUCCCACACAGCAUUUGCUCCUCAGAAGAGGACAGAUACCAGGGAUAUACGAAUGCAAAGUUCUGGAAGCAAAUCUGCUCCCCAGGUUUCAUUAGCGAUGACACAAGAACAGACAAUUUUGUCUGCACGUGGGCUGCAGCCCUGCAAGCCUGAAGACCGAGUGGUGCAGCCUGACAACGGGACAUGUGGCCAUUACGGGGUCCCUGCGAGCCCUUGGACCAACCCACCGGUCAUUAAACCCGGCUGUGCUAUCUGCUGUUCCUUUUCAAUCUCUCCCUUCCAAAAACCGCACCAGGUGAAAUCCAAUAUCAUGCACUGACUCACAAAUAGCUGUUCGUUUUCAAGACAUCUUUCACUCGAACCUUUUGUUAGAAGCUUCUAAGGAAAACACAGGGUAAUAGAAAGAGCAGGUGAAGUGACAAGCUGAGCUGACUGCACGCAAUAAACAGAGUGCCUGUGGCUUCAGCAUUGCCAUAGCUCUGUCUGCAUGAACAGGGUAAUGCUUUGAGCAUAGCACGGGGUCAGGAUGACAGGUUACUGCUCUGUUCUUCUGCUAAAGUCAUUAUGUGAUGCUGAGCAUGUUUUCUUGCCUCUAAAAUUUUUAUUGACAUGUUCAGUUCUGCGUCAUCCAUUUGGGAGAGAAGGUCCUUGGAAGAAGGAAGAAGUCUUCAUCCACAGACUUCUCUCUCUCUACUGGCCCUCACGCCAGAAUCCUUCAUUGGUACAUCUAGUAGUUGUCUUAACGCAUAUGCAAUUAUUAUUAAUAGCAGUUUUAAUAGUAUUUAUAUUUACUGGGUUUACAGUCUCACGACCCAUGUAGAAAUUUGUUGCAGUUCAGGUAUGAGCCAUGUGAGGUGCUGGCACUGCUUGCAGAGCUGUGGUGCCCCAUCCCUGGAGGUACCGAGGCCACAGAUGGGCCCUGGGCAGCCGGAGCUGGGGGGCAGCCAGCCCAUGGGUGGGGGGGGGCUGGGGGCUGCCUUCCAACCCAGCCACGCUGUGCUUCUAUUUCAAGUCUGAGAUAAGUGCCUCUGACAGUCAGCCUUCUAAGACAAAUCCUCCUCCUAAAAUGCAGCAUGCACACCCAGACAGGUUGGGUUAUACUCUUGCUUUCCUUCAAUGAGAAUUGACAAGAAGUGUGCAACAGAAAGCUUUCUGUCAAAGCGGGAAAUAGGGAUUUUUCUCCCUUUUUUUUGUUGUUGUUGUUGUUGUUGUUGUUGUUGUUGUUGUUUUCCCUUUCCUUUAGCAAUCUAAGAAUAACGCCGAUUACAACAGCACUUCAGCACUUUUCAUCCUGGAUUGCUCCUCACAGGAGAAAAUGUGUGUAGAAUAGAGGUGUCAGCUGGACACCCAUCCACCCAAAAAGACAGAAGGGCACAAGCUGUGCACAGGCUGGACCAGGCACCCCUUUCCCUUUCUCCCACCACAGCACACGCCAUCCACAUUUGCGUGGGCCCAUGAACACAGCAAAUCCAGACCCUGCAGGAGCUCAGGAGAUGGACCCGGAGUUGAACAGAACCCUGACAGUGCACAGCAGCUGGUGGAACUCCAGGUCAGAACACCGUAACAUUGAACAACUCAUCCAAAAAGCAACUCCCCCACUGGGAGUGGGUGAAGGUCUUAUUAUAACUUUCCCCCCAUGCCUCUGAGCACAAACGAUCUUUUUUUUUCCGCUAUAACACCAUUUUCAUGUGAUCAGAAAACAGUAGGAACUGGAGCUUUAUCCGAAACAGCAGAAAUAAUAAGCCUGGCUACAUUGCAGGGGCAAGCAGCACGUUCCCUUACACAAUGACACCAGCAGACUAUUGGCAGAAGGCAGCUGGAAGAGACACAGAUCAAACGAGUGCUGCGCCAGGCGGGCUGCAUCAGGCAUCGCCCAGAACUCGUCCUGAAGCUGCACCAAGGCCUGGCUGCUAUGGCUGCGCUGCCCGGUGCAGUCCCACAGCACAGUACUGGUGGGAGAGGCAUGACCUGCCCGUGUGGGAGGGGGUGCUGGGACACAGAUCUCUCCAGUGACUGCAGAGCUUUUGGAAAUCGUUAACACAUUCAGCAAUGCAGGCUCCGGGACUGCUGUGAGAGAACCAAGGGCCUCGCUUCCGGGGUUUGCCUUUCCACCCUCAGACUGAUGCUGACGGUAUUUAAAGCAGGCAGCUACAAUUUUUUUUUAAUAAACUAUUAAUACAACAUGUCUCAAGGCUGUUUAUCAGGCGCUGCUGUUAAGAAACAUUUUGAAAUGGUUACUGGUCUGCCAUCAGACCCUGCUCUAAAAUAAGGUUUCCCAAGAGUUUAUUUGUAUUUCGGAGGAGAACGCACUGACCAUGUUCAUGCUUCCCAGUAUUUCUUCCAGACGCUACGGGUUGUUUAUCCAUACUUGCAUGCAAAUAUCCCAUCUAAUUCAUUUUGUUCUUUUAAAAUGCAGUUUAAAUACAGCUUUUCAGGGAAACAGAGCCCGUUUCCAUUUAUCUUAGUUGAAACUAGGGCUAUAAAUCUCUUCGGUUUCUUUUAUUGAUCUCAGACGAAAUUACAAAUAUAAAUUACAGCUGCUGCAAAUUAAAUGUUCUAAUGACUGCUCGAAAGCAAACGCGCUAGCACCAGUAACACAUUCAGCAAAGACACAGCAAGAGCGGCAGACAGCGGCCACCCCCUGUUCCCAUGCAAACCCUCAGCCGCGGUGCUCUCCUCCUACCACCAGCUUUCUCGCCUAUCUCUGACUGUUUUAAUCAGUUCACCUCAACUAGGUCCCUAGGACCUGCAGGCGGCUUAAUAUACCCACCACGAAAGCUCGGUGAAAAGCACCGCGCUUGAAGUGUCACUACAUAUUCCAUAUAGCCCAAGCUGAAAUAUGGAAAUAUAUCACCAGUUUUACUGUCCCAGCGGUUUUCCUCAUUCUCAAUCUCACUAUAAACGUUGGCCUCAGGGGCACGCUCCGCAAGGGCAAAUAUCAGGUGAUGCUGCUUCAGGUAGCACCCGUUUCCUAUGAAGGAGCUCCUAUUUCACAAGGCAGCGUAAUCAUCAGUUUUCUACACCGCUGACACUCAGACCCUUAUGCACAAAGGUUUCUGUUUACCAGGUCAUGAAAUUGCAAGUAUAAUAGUGGUGACUUUGCUGCACUUGAUAAAACCGUAAAACAUUUCAUUUUGCUGCCUACUGAGCUUUAAAAAAAAAAAUGACAUUGGAAAGGAGACAACAUUCUUGCUACCAUCAAAGUAUUGCAAAAUAUCUACUUUCCUGCUUG
Long non-coding RNA from Numida meleagris (helmeted guineafowl), 8115 nucleotides. RefSeq lists it as uncharacterized. The record is from RefSeq and is a predicted model, not a curated record. The transcript has 13 exons. Lineage: Eukaryota; Metazoa; Chordata; Aves; Galliformes; Numididae.